This is a small nucleolar RNA of Panicum hallii, 114 nucleotides long. RefSeq annotates it as small nucleolar RNA Z278. The record is from RefSeq and is a predicted model, not a curated record. The transcript has a single exon. Lineage: Eukaryota; Viridiplantae; Streptophyta; Magnoliopsida; Poales; Poaceae.
GCCAAUGAUGAGUUGUCCAUAAUUCGAGAUGUAGAUAACUUCCAAGUCCCUGUUUCAGGGAGAACCUACUUGGGGUCCUAUAUUCAAAUGAGAUGCAUGGGCAUUUACUGAGGU